UGUAUGGUUUCGCUAUAGUAUUGCAUACAUUAUGUAAAUUUCAGUUUAGCAAAAUAAUACGCUGUUGUAAAAUUAACCUAACCAAGAAUUACUAAUACAUGGUUCUUUUUUGGUCUCAUCGGAGUUCAAGAACUCAUUCUCUCGUGCCUGGUCGCAUGAAAAUAGUUCUGUAAACUAUUGGUUUGAUAAUCUAUUGAUUCAAUUACAGAUAAACUGAUUGAACAGAUUGCGCUCC
This is a non-coding RNA of Cinara cedri, 235 nucleotides long. Lineage: Eukaryota; Metazoa; Arthropoda; Insecta; Hemiptera; Aphididae. The record is from the annotation of a GenBank genome assembly.